RNAcentral lists this transfer RNA (103 nucleotides) under Cyphobasidiales sp. Tagirdzhanova-0007. RNAcentral describes it as "tRNA-Ser". The record is from RNAcentral. Lineage: Eukaryota; Fungi; Basidiomycota; Cystobasidiomycetes; Cyphobasidiales.
GCACCUAUCAGUGGUUAAGGAGUCUGAUUCGAAUCUAUGCACUUCUGCAUGGGCGAUUAUCAUAUGGGUUCUGCCCGCAGAGGUUCAAAUCCUCUUGUAGACG